RNAcentral lists this unclassified non-coding RNA (338 nucleotides) under soil metagenome. RNAcentral describes it as "partial contains 5.8S ribosomal RNA, internal transcribed spacer 2, and large subunit ribosomal RNA". The stretch from base 1 to 120 matches the Rfam family "5.8S ribosomal RNA", at positions 35 to 154 of the family's 154-position model. The record is from RNAcentral.
GAUGAAGAACGCAGCGAAAUGCGAUAAGUAAUGUGAAUUGCAGAAUUCAGUGAAUCAUCGAAUCUUUGAACGCACAUUGCGCCCGCCAGUAUUCUGCCGGGCAUGCCUGUUCGAGCGUCAUUUCAACCAUCAAGCCCCAGCGCUUGUGUUGGGGGCCUGCGGCUGCCGCAGCCCCCCAAAAGCAGUGGCGGGCUCGCUAUCACACCGAGUGCAGUAGUUCAUCUUCUCUCCGGUCUUGUGAGGCGGGUUCCGGCCGUGAAACACCCCACUACAUUCAAGGUUGACCUCGGAUCAGGUAGGAAUACCCGCUGAACUUAAGCAUAUCAAUAAGCGGAGGA